CGCGCGUGUACCCGCAAGGGGAAAGCGGCGUAAGGGACAGUAAUUGUGUAGGUAUCUACCCUGGGGUCCAGGAUAGCCACGGGAAACUGUGGGUAAUACUGGAUGACAUCUCCGGAUCAAAGGUGUGAUUCCGCCCUGGGAUGAGCCUGCAUCCUAUUAGGUAGUUGGUGAGGUAACGGCUCACCAAGCCAAUGAUGGGUAGGGGGUGUGAGAGCACGACCCCCGUCACUGGGACUGAGACACUGCCCAGACACCUACGGGUGGCUGCAGUCGAGGAUCUUCGGCAAUGGGCGCAAGCCUGACCGAGCGACGCCGCGUGCGGGAUGAAGGCCUUCGGGUUGUAAACCGCUGUCAGUGGGGAGGAAAUGCCGGUGGGUUCUCCCAUCGGUUUGACCUAUCCGCAGAGGAAGCAAGGGCUAAGUUCGUGCCAGCAGCCGCGGUAAGACGAGCCUUGCUAACGUUAUUCGGAAUUACUGGGCAUAAAGAGCACGUAGGCGGUCGGGUUAGUCUGACUGUGAAAUCCCUCGGCUUAACUGAGGAAUUGCAUCGGAUACUGCCCGACUAGAGUGCAGCAGGGGAGAGUGGAAUUCCAGGUGGAGCGGUGAAAUGCGUAGAUAUCUGGAGGAACGCCGGUGGCGAAAGCGACUCUCUGGGC
Molecule: ribosomal RNA, 655 nt
Filed under: uncultured bacterium
Lineage: Bacteria
Description: bacterial SSU rRNA
Rfam family: Bacterial small subunit ribosomal RNA
Source: RNAcentral